This 599-nucleotide ribosomal RNA is filed under the name uncultured bacterium. Its description in RNAcentral is "bacterial SSU rRNA". It matches the Rfam family "Bacterial small subunit ribosomal RNA", at positions 338 to 949 of the family's 1533-position model. The record is from RNAcentral.
CCUACGGGAGGCAGCAGUGGGGAAUAUUGGGCAAUGGAGGAAACUCUGACCCAGCGACGCCGCGUGCGGGAUGAAGGCCUUCGGGUUGUAAACCGCUUUCAGCAGGGAAGAAGCGAAAGUGACGGUACCUGCAGAAGAAGCACCGGCUAACUAUGUGCCAGCAGCCGCGGUAAUACAUAGGGUGCAAGCGUUGUCCGGAAUUAUUGGGCGUAAAGAGCUCGUAGGUGGUUCGUCACGUCGGAUGUGAAAAUCUGGGGCUUAACCCCAGACCUGCAUUCGAUACGGGCGAGCUUGAGUAUGGUAGGGGAGUCUGGAAUUCCUGGUGUAGCGGUGGAAUGCGCAGAUAUCAGGAGGAACACCAAUGGCGAAGGCAGGACUCUGGGCCAUUACUGACACUGAGGAGCGAAAGCGUGGGGAGCGAACAGGAUUAGAUACCCUGGUAGUCCACGCCGUAAACGGUGGGCACUAGUUGUGGGGACCUUCCACGGUCUCUGCGACGCAGCUAACGCAUUAAGUGCCCGCCUGGGGAGUACGAUCGCAAGAUUAAAACGUCAAAGGAAUUGAACGGNUUGAGACGNGCGAGACGACGACGAGGAGAG